This is a long non-coding RNA of Diachasmimorpha longicaudata, 2759 nucleotides long. RefSeq lists it as uncharacterized. NCBI's taxonomy places the organism in Eukaryota, Metazoa, Arthropoda, Insecta, Hymenoptera, Braconidae. The record is from RefSeq and is a predicted model, not a curated record. The transcript has 2 exons.
UCAAAAGUUAAGGAUCAAAGCAAUUAUAAAUUGUCCAUCAACUUCACCAUAAUGGAUUCAAAGAUAUCGGAAUGUCCGGUAGGAUAUCGAAAUGUCCAUCCCGAACGUAACCGACUCGGGCCGAGUGCUACCGAGUAUCUCACAUGACGGCACUACCUUGAAAUGGUUUUUAAAAAUUAUUUUAAGCUGCGGACAAUGAAUUUGAAUAUUGUUCUUUGUUGGGACUCCGUAUGUGUGCACGUGAUUAUUUUAUAUAUUCAGUAUUUUGGCAUUUGAGCUCAUCUUCUAGGACAUGUUGUAAAGGAAAUGUUGGCUGCAUGCGUCCUUCACUUAGAUCAUGCCAUUAAGUCCCGUUCAAAACCAAGGGAUAGGAGACCAUGAAUUACCUGGCGUACUACUUGGAGAAACUGACUCAGUAUUCUGCAGAGUAUUGCAGGGAAUAGGGGAGACACUCUUAGGCCCAUUAUCAGGGGAGUGUGCAGUGCUGUGUCCACUAUCAGUCGCCAUUCUCUCGCUAUCAGGUGAGCUGUCUUCAUGGCGGAGCCUCGAGUGACACUUCCGAAGCACCAAAUGGGGCCUAGAUGACCCAGUGGCCCCUGCUAACUCCUCAGCCAGCGACGGAGUCGAAGUUACUGCUAUUAAAUUUGCAGACAUGAAAACAAAAUAUUGGGACUUAAAAUAUCGAGAUCUUGUGGAUUAUCAGUGUGUAAGAAAUGGGGAAGUUUAGAAAAUGUCUUUGAAAUGUACGUUGUUAUGAGGAAUACAAAAAAACUUAUGAAACUAACUUCUUCCUAAUCCGCCGGAGCUCAUGGGAUUUUAUUUCAAAAUGGUAAUUUACCUAUUGACAGACUGAUUAAGGCUAUGCGAAAAAAUAUAGCGAGUGCAGGAAAAGUCCGAUAUAGUCAAGCCUAUGAAAGUGGUUCCUACGGUGCAAUGAAUAUUUUUUUGUUUGGAAUAAAGGACAUACAUGAAAAAUAAUUGAAAAACGACUAAUAUUGAGAUUUUAGAAAAUUUAAAUUUUUUUCUACUUUUAAUAAACGGUUUGUUAAUUAUCGUGAAAUGGUACAUGAAUAAAUUACAUUCAAUCAGCAGUCUAGCAAAUCGGAAAUGAUUAAACGAAAUUUUUAUAAACUCGAAAAAUAUUGAGAAUGGUGGAAAUUAUGAUUAUUGGAAAAUGCUAACUAUUGCUUCAAAUCCCACAAACGGGUGAGGACUCAUUUUGAAAAUAAUUUUUUUGUUUAACGCCAAUUGAUAAGUAUGAGUAAUUAUAACUGUUACAGUUGUGUAUUUUUUAAAAUUUUAAUUCCAAAUGAAAACUCUGUAAUCUUUUAUUUUCACGACGUUCUAAUUUUGUCGAGAAAUUAUGUUUUUAGAAAAUGAAACCAAAUGCACACCGCAGCGCGUUGUAAUGAUAAGCAUGUUGAUUGGAAAUCUCAAAAUUGAAUGAGUUCUGAAUCCAAAUGAGCCACCUUAGACAGUUGUGAACGAAUGAAGAGUGAGCGUGACAAACUAUGGAGAUACGUAUAGUCUCGAUGUUUCUUCUUUUUAUAGUAGGAUGUACUUAUUCGCGCACGUAUGCGUAAUUUUUAAAAAUUUCCACUAAAAAGAAAUAGCGUUGCAACUAAAAAACUAGAUGUUUGCUAAAUAAUUGGGAUUGUUUGUGACCAAAUCUGGGCGAAAUUCCAACUCAAUCAGUUGAAUAAUUUUUUAUAUUUAGUUCAUAAACUAUGCAAUUAAAUUGAAGUAGAUUGACGCCGAAAUGAUAAUAUCUCUCAAAUCAAAUCGGAAUAUGCCAACUAAAGAUAACUCGGUGGUAAUUGGAAUUUUUCAUUUUUACACAUUUUUGAUAAAAUUCUUCUACUUAUGAUUACGAAUUAAAUUUGGUGCGAUUGUAGGUUUCAUCAUUAUCACAAUAUCGGAUGAGUAUUUUUUGAGAUAUUAAUUUUUUUAGAUCUUUCUCUCGAUAUCUUUUAAAUGACAUCAUUAAGAAAAAAUAGAGGUGACAAUCUACAAUAGAGACUUUUCUUGCCGAUUGAGCGUGAAUCUGCUCAUGUUCUAUCCUUUGUGCGUAAUGUAAAAGUUUAUUUUAGCCACACCACGUGGAAAAUAGUCAUUCUAUACCCACAUUUCCAUAUCAAAAAAUGCACUUUUAACGUGGUAUAACAAAAAAAUCAACACGAAAAUCUUACAUUUCUUGUUUUUUGGAAUUUCCGGAAGUCGCCUCCGUUUUCUCUCAUUUCCACUACUACCAGGACGAUUAGGAUGAUGUUCUGGCGUCGCCCAGGAUCCCAAACUCGAGCAGGAUCCACCGACGUCGCUCACCAUACUGUCACGUCCCGUCGAUGGUAGAAUGCCAGUUAAGUUGGUGUAUCGACCCCUGCUGCUUAGUCCACCGAACAAGCUAAUUGUAAAAGCCCAUAGGCAUUUCGAUGUCAGUCUAAACUACUUCAUGCGCCACUAUUUCUUCGGAAUGUAUUACACUCAUCAUUAGAUCACAUUUGUUCUCUCGUUCUGUAGUGAAAUAACAGAUUGAAAGCUAUGAAUUCAACUCCUGUAAUUUUCCUCUUUACAAGAUUUUCCUAUCAUUUCACCCCUGUGCUUUUAAUUCUGUAAAAUAUUAGUUUGUAAAUAUCUCUGAGGAUGGGCUUUAACAAACCAGUUUUUUAUAAAUGUCAUCAACUAUGCGAUGUGGGAAAUCCAUUGUAACUUACUCUAUAAUCAAUACUUUCCGAAAUAAUAACGUAAAGAAUGGAACUGUG